Non-coding RNA from Myotis davidii, 81 nucleotides. The record is from Rfam. NCBI's taxonomy places the organism in Eukaryota, Metazoa, Chordata, Mammalia, Chiroptera, Vespertilionidae.
AGGCCUGAAGAGAGAAGCAGGGUCUGAUCCGUAGCCUGUGUGGCAGCUUUUGAUCAGCACUUGUCUCUCUCUUUUUCUCCU